GAACACAUAAUUUAAUUUGGGAAAAUAUCACACUUACAAGGUGAAGUUGCAGGUUCGAAUCCUGCUGUGUUCA
Molecule: transfer RNA, 73 nt
Filed under: Chryseobacterium defluvii
Lineage: Bacteria; Pseudomonadati; Bacteroidota; Flavobacteriia; Flavobacteriales; Weeksellaceae
Description: tRNA-Val
Rfam family: tRNA
About the family: Transfer RNA (tRNA) molecules are approximately 80 nucleotides in length. Their secondary structure includes four short double-helical elements and three loops (D, anti-codon, and T loops). Further hydrogen bonds mediate the characteristic L-shaped molecular structure. tRNAs have two regions of fundamental functional importance: the anti-codon, which is responsible for specific mRNA codon recognition, and the 3' end, to which the tRNAs corresponding amino acid is attached (by aminoacyl-tRNA synthetases). tRNAs cope with the degeneracy of the genetic code in two manners: having more than one tRNA (with a specific anti-codon) for a particular amino acid; and 'wobble' base-pairing, i.e. permitting non-standard base-pairing at the 3rd anti-codon position.
Source: RNAcentral